RNAcentral lists this ribosomal RNA (274 nucleotides) under uncultured bacterium. Its description in RNAcentral is "partial 16S ribosomal RNA". It matches the Rfam family "Bacterial small subunit ribosomal RNA", at positions 523 to 796 of the family's 1533-position model. The record is from RNAcentral.
AUACGGAGGGUGCAAGCGUUGUUCGGAAUUAUUGGGCGUAAAGAGCAUGUAGGCGGUUCGUUAAGUCUGAUGUGAAAGCCCGGGGCUCAACCCCGGAAGUGCAUUGGAUACUGGCGAACUUGAGUACGGGAGAGGAAAGUGGAAUUUCGAGUGUAGGGGUGAAAUCCGUAGAUAUUCGAAGGAACACCAGUGGCGAAGGCGGCUUUCUGGACCGAUACUGACGCUGAGAUGCGAAAGCGUGGGGAGCAGACAGGAUUAGAAACCCCGGUAGUCC